RNAcentral lists this long non-coding RNA (1166 nucleotides) under Homo sapiens (human). Its description in RNAcentral is "HSALNT0345292". Lineage: Eukaryota; Metazoa; Chordata; Mammalia; Primates; Hominidae. The record is from RNAcentral.
UAGCUGGGCUUGGGGCGGGGCCGAGACGGAGCGAGGGGUCCAGGGUGUGGGAAACGGGGAGGGGUUUGAGGAGGGGAUCGGAAUGUGGCUCAAGUUCGGGAGGCGUUACCUGCGGAGGGUUUGAGGCAGGCCCAGGAGCGAGCCCAUGGUCUUCCGACGCGGGGCCAGGGGCGGGGCCCAGGAUCCGGAGCUUCGUGCGGGGCCGAGUCCAGGUUUGGGGCCCGGGAGGCGGGGCCAGUUAGGGCGAGGGUCCCUGGGAUCGUCGGGUCAGGCCUUGGGCUAACGUAGGCACUCUCGCAGUUCCUCCGCCUUCAGGAAGGUCUUUUCAGCAGGGGCCUUACGGGUGCAUGCUUCGGUCCUGGAGGCCUUAUCCUAGCCUCCUCUCCAUCAGCGCCACCCGUCUGGGGCCCGAAAGGAGGGAGCUUUCCCUCUGUCCCCCAGCCUUUGGACUGUCACUAAACAAGCCAUUCGUUCAUCAAAUACUUUUUAAGCGCCUACCAUGUGCCUGACAAGGGAGAUGUAACGGUGAGAAAAACUAGGUGUGGUCCAGGCCCUUCAGGGGCUCAGGUGCUCGUGGAAGAAGUGGACAUUGAAGUACUUAUCACACAAAUGAGGAUAAAAGUACGAUAACGAUAUCUACCACGAAGCUGUUGUUCCCCACCAGAACCAAAUGAGCGCAAGAUCUGACAAAGAAAAAAAAAGGUUCAUCUUUUAUUCCUCCAAACACUUUCAUUUAAAUCAAGAGGAUGGGAUGUGGUUAUUGCUGUGUUUUUAGACAGAAUCAACGGUUUCUGGGUCUGAGAUGUUGCAUACACCUUCUCAGUCCCUGUAUCCUGAGAUGGAGUCACCUGAGAAUCCACAGCAAGUCCUAACCAGGGAUGGGUCUGGGUGAUUAAGGAAGGUUGGCUUCAGAACUGGGCCAGGGGCACUGCUUUGCUUUUGCUGUUUUGAUCAGCUCUCUGCCUGAAGGAGACAAGAAAAACCAACGGGAACAGAUAGGGUCUCUCUCUCUGCCACCCAGGCCAGAGUGCAGUUGACGCAGGGCAGGGGAGCCCCGAAGUGGAGCAUAGUGUGUCCGGAACUGGUGGGUUCUUGGUCUCACUGACUUCAAGAAAGAAGCCGCGGACCCUCGCGAGACGGGGUCUUGCUCUGUUGCUCAAGCUGGA